RNAcentral lists this ribosomal RNA (253 nucleotides) under uncultured bacterium. Its description in RNAcentral is "partial 16S ribosomal RNA". It matches the Rfam family "Bacterial small subunit ribosomal RNA", at positions 524 to 776 of the family's 1533-position model. The record is from RNAcentral.
UACGUAGGGGGCAAGCGUUGUCCGGAAUUAUUGGGCGUAAAGAGCGCGUAGGCGGUCCGAUAAGUCGGCUGUGAAAGUCCAGGGCUCAACCCUGGAAAGCCGGCCGAUACUGUCGGACUAGAGUCCGGAAGAGGCAAGUGGAAUUCCCGGUGUAGUGGUGGAAUGCGUAGAUAUCGGGAGGAACACCAGUGGCGAAGGCGGUUGCCUGGGGCUUUGCUGACGCUGAGGCGCGAAAGCGUGGGGAGCGAUCCGG